Molecule: ribosomal RNA, 810 nt
Filed under: uncultured bacterium
Lineage: Bacteria
Description: bacterial SSU rRNA
Rfam family: Bacterial small subunit ribosomal RNA
Source: RNAcentral
CGUGGUAACUGCCCAAAAGUGGGGAUACAUUUGGAAACAAAUGCUAAUACGCAUAUAGUCAGAACCGCAUGGUUCUGAUUUGAAAGAUGGUUUCGGCUAUCACUUUUGGAUGGACCCGCGGCGUAUUAGUUAGUUGGUGAGGUAAAGGCUCACCAAGACGAUGAUACGUAGCCGAACUGAGAGGUUGAUCGGCCACAAUGGGACUGAGACACGGCCCAUACUCCUACGGGAGGCAGCAGUAGGGAAUCUUUCCACAAUGGGCGAAAGCCUGAUGGAGCAACACCGCGUGAGUGAAGAAGGGUUUCGGCUCGUAAAACUCUGUUGUUGGAGAAGAACGUAUGUGAUAGUAACUGAUCAUGUAGUGACGGUAUCCAACCAGAAAGCCACGGCUAACUACGUGCCAGCAGCCGCGGUAAUACGUAGGUGGCAAGCGUUAUCCGGAUUUAUUGGGCGUAAAGCGAGCGCAGGCGGUUUUUUAAGUCUGAUGUGAAAGCCCUUGGCUCAACCAAGGAAGUGCAUCGGAAACUGGAAAACUUGAGUGCAGAAGAGGACAGUGGAACUCCAUGUGUAGCGGUGAAAUGCGUAGAUAUAUGGAAGAACACCAGUGGCGAAGGCGGCUGUCUGGUCUGUAACUGACGCUGAGGCUCGAAAGCAUGGGUAGCGAACAGGAUUAGAUACCCUGGUAGUCCAUGCCGUAAACGAUGAAUGCUAGGUGUUGGAGGGUUUCCGCCCUUCAGUGCCGGAGCUAACGCAUUAAGCAUUCCGCCUGGGGAGUACGACCGCAAGGUUGAAACUCAAAUGAAUCGACGG